This 781-nucleotide ribosomal RNA is filed under the name Escherichia coli. RNAcentral's name for it is "partial 23S ribosomal RNA". It matches the Rfam family "Bacterial large subunit ribosomal RNA", at positions 2017 to 2797 of the family's 2925-position model. Lineage: Bacteria; Pseudomonadati; Pseudomonadota; Gammaproteobacteria; Enterobacterales; Enterobacteriaceae. The record is from RNAcentral.
UGUCUCCACCCGAGACUCAGUGAAAUUGAACUCGCUGUGAAGAUGCAGUGUACCCGCGGCAAGACGGAAAGACCCCGUGAACCUUUACUAUAGCUUGACACUGAACAUUGAGCCUUGAUGUGUAGGAUAGGUGGGAGGCUUUGAAGUGUGGACGCCAGUCUGCAUGGAGCCGACCUUGAAAUACCACCCUUUAAUGUUUGAUGUUCUAACGUUGACCCGUAAUCCGGGUUGCGGACAGUGUCUGGUGGGUAGUUUGACUGGGGCGGUCUCCUCCUAAAGAGUAACGGAGGAGCACGAAGGUUGGCUAAUCCUGGUCGGACAUCAGGAGGUUAGUGCAAUGGCAUAAGCCAGCUUGACUGCGAGCGUGACGGCGCGAGCAGGUGCGAAAGCAGGUCAUAGUGAUCCGGUGGUUCUGAAUGGAAGGGCCAUCGCUCAACGGAUAAAAGGUACUCCGGGGAUAACAGGCUGAUACCGCCCAAGAGUUCAUAUCGACGGCGGUGUUUGGCACCUCGAUGUCGGCUCAUCACAUCCUGGGGCUGAAGUAGGUCCCAAGGGUAUGGCUGUUCGCCAUUUAAAGUGGUACGCGAGCUGGGUUUAGAACGUCGUGAGACAGUUCGGUCCCUAUCUGCCGUGGGCGCUGGAGAACUGAGGGGGGCUGCUCCUAGUACGAGAGGACCGGAGUGGACGCAUCACUGGUGUUCGGGUUGUCAUGCCAAUGGCACUGCCCGGUAGCUAAAUGCGGAAGAGAUAAGUGCUGAAAGCAUCUAAGCACGAAACUUGC